RNAcentral lists this ribosomal RNA (402 nucleotides) under Triticum aestivum (bread wheat). RNAcentral's name for it is "partial small subunit ribosomal RNA". The record is from RNAcentral. Lineage: Eukaryota; Viridiplantae; Streptophyta; Magnoliopsida; Poales; Poaceae.
AUGGACUUAGAAGAUUGGCAACAAACCAAGUAUUUAGUUGUUCUUGAUGAUGUCCGUGAUGAAUCACUAUGCCACCAAAUCAUAUCUGCCUUUCCUCCUACUGCUGCUGGUGGUCAUUCUGCACUUCUGGUGAUCACCCACUCAUAUGCUAUAGCCCGUUCCUUCUCUCCAAACAAAGUCUUCCCGCCUCUGGAGCCUCUAAUCGAUUUUUUCUUUGUGAAAGGGGUUUCCCUUGUUGAGAAUAAUGAUACCCUGAAGCCAGUCAUUCAGUCUAUUAUCUCAAAAUGUGCACCCAAUCUCGAAUGCCUCAAGGCAUUCUUACAUGUUCUCUAUGUCAAUCCUAACAUACGAGAGCUUGAGAGAUUAUGUGACGCCCUAAGUAGUGAAUCUCCCGGCAAUUAA